GAUGAAGAACGCAGUGAAAUGCGAUACGUAAUGUGAAUUGCAGAAUUCAGUGAAUCAUCGAAUCUUUGAACGCAUAUUGCGCUCUCUGGUAUUCCGGAGAGCAUGCUUGUUUGAGUAUCAGUAAACACCUCAACUUCCAUAUCUUUUUUGAAAUGGGAGUUGGACUUGAGUGAUCCCAACGCUUUUCCUCACCGAAAAGUGGCGGGUUACUUGAAAUGCAGGUGCAGCUGGACUUUUCUCUGAGCUAUAAGCAUAUCUAUUUAGUCUGCCUAAAAAACAGAUUAUUACCUUUGCUGCAGCUAACAUAAAGGAGAUUAGUUCUUGUGCUGACUGAUGCAGGAUUCACAAAGACGGCUUCGGCCGACUUUGUAAACUCGAUCUCAAAUCAAGUAAGACUACCCGCUGACCUUAAGCAUAUCAAUAAGCGGAGGA
RNAcentral lists this unclassified non-coding RNA (432 nucleotides) under soil metagenome. RNAcentral describes it as "partial contains 5.8S ribosomal RNA, internal transcribed spacer 2, and large subunit ribosomal RNA". The stretch from base 1 to 120 matches the Rfam family "5.8S ribosomal RNA", at positions 35 to 154 of the family's 154-position model. The record is from RNAcentral.